AAACCUAUACUACUAAAACUUUAAUUUCUCUGACAUGAUUCACGGACUAAACAAAUACAAACUAAAGAUUAAAAUAUUAUUUAUUCACCAAUUCAAACGACAUAAACAUAUUAGUAACCAUAGGUACUUCCAAUAUAGGUGAAAAUAAAACCACUAAAUUAAAACUUUCAUCAAUCAAACUAUAAGAUAAAAAGUCUCUUAAGUUUUUUACGCCGUCAAUGUAUAUAACUUUUAGCUUAGCCUGAUCGGUGGUGGACGGUUUUCUGGACUCUCUUGCCGAUUAGGGCCACUAGGAACCACACGAUAUGAAAACCCUAGCCAUCUUUGAACGUCAUUCAACUUUCUUGAAAUCCCAUGAUCCGCUAAGAAAGGUUGAAAUACUUUUUCACUUUUUGCAAUUAAAUUCACAUGUGGUCGAAUAGCUUGAACGAUUUUUUCACUAUUAAAAAGGAAGAGAGCAACAAGAAUGAAGAAGAAGAGUUUCAUUUUUGCCUUUGGUUUUUGGUAUUCC
Molecule: long non-coding RNA, 511 nt
Filed under: Capsicum annuum
Lineage: Eukaryota; Viridiplantae; Streptophyta; Magnoliopsida; Solanales; Solanaceae
Description: long non-coding RNA (CANN_LNC018186)
Source: RNAcentral